CGUAGAUGUCACAGUUGCGGGGAUAGCUCAGUUGGGAGAGCGUCAGACUGAAGAUCUGAAGGUCACGUGUUCGAUCCACGUUCACCGCAU
This 90-nucleotide transfer RNA is filed under the name Helianthus annuus (common sunflower). Its description in RNAcentral is "tRNA HanXRQr2_Chr05g0226451". The stretch from base 17 to 89 matches the Rfam family "tRNA". Rfam says of the family: Transfer RNA (tRNA) molecules are approximately 80 nucleotides in length. Their secondary structure includes four short double-helical elements and three loops (D, anti-codon, and T loops). Further hydrogen bonds mediate the characteristic L-shaped molecular structure. tRNAs have two regions of fundamental functional importance: the anti-codon, which is responsible for specific mRNA codon recognition, and the 3' end, to which the tRNAs corresponding amino acid is attached (by aminoacyl-tRNA synthetases). tRNAs cope with the degeneracy of the genetic code in two manners: having more than one tRNA (with a specific anti-codon) for a particular amino acid; and 'wobble' base-pairing, i.e. permitting non-standard base-pairing at the 3rd anti-codon position. Lineage: Eukaryota; Viridiplantae; Streptophyta; Magnoliopsida; Asterales; Asteraceae. The record is from RNAcentral.